This 118-nucleotide ribosomal RNA is filed under the name Piliocolobus tephrosceles (Ugandan red Colobus). The record is from RNAcentral. Lineage: Eukaryota; Metazoa; Chordata; Mammalia; Primates; Cercopithecidae.
GUCUAUGGUCAUACCACUCUGAAUGUGCCCUAUCUCUUCUGAUCUUGUGAAGCUAAGCAGGGUCAGGCCUGGUUAGUACUUGGAUGGGAGACUAUGGUGAAGAAGCUGAGCCAGGAUU